GGCCAAAUGGAGCAAUCUCCACAAUUUGUGCGUUCCUAGCUUAAGAUCGAAUGACUUUCCUUCGACUUCCAUUGAGAUUGGUACGAUUUAGUACUAAUUCCAGCUUGCUCAUCUUUAUCCUCUGAGAUUUUGAAUUUCGGUGGGGAAUUUGUUACUCCUUUUCUAAUCUAUCCCCCCACUUUUCUCAACCCCUAAUCUCCCCCUAUAUGUAGUCUAUUCGAUUUUCUGAUUAAGGAAUUUUUUUUAGGGCUAAAAAUUUAGGUUUGGAAGGUUUAGUUGGAGUUUUA
This 287-nucleotide unclassified non-coding RNA is filed under the name Hevea brasiliensis (rubber tree). The record is from RNAcentral. Lineage: Eukaryota; Viridiplantae; Streptophyta; Magnoliopsida; Malpighiales; Euphorbiaceae.